This 2056-nucleotide long non-coding RNA is filed under the name Sus scrofa (pig). Its description in RNAcentral is "lncRNA (ENSSSCG00035076082.1)". The record is from RNAcentral. Lineage: Eukaryota; Metazoa; Chordata; Mammalia; Artiodactyla; Suidae.
ACGCGCCCGCGAGGCUCCGCCCCGCCCCUUCCUGCAGCCGCCGGCCGCUUCCCCGGUGGGUCCUCCAGCCCCUACGCUGGAGGUGGAGGGGUGAGGGCGCGGUCCGACCGGAAAGCGCGGCACCCCGGCGCUCGGCGCUCACUGACUGCCCAACUCCACGGAGGCGCUUGCUCUAUUCUCUCCCCACCUGCGCCCGGGACCUGGGAGGGAUGGGCGUGGCCGACCUUUCCUGUAUGGACGGUGAAAAGGCCAGAAGUGACUCUCCUGUCCAGGGUCUCAAGCUGGAACUGGAUCCUCCCUGCUCAGGCUGCGAUCCGCUCGUCGCAUCUGCUGGGCAAGUCUUGAAAACGCAAACCUGCUUCCAGCACAAUGCACCUGCCCAUCAUCCUAUAUCCUGUAUCAGAGGUUCCUGGAGAAAUGAAAGCAAAUUGUUUACUGCAAAGUUUAAUUGGAAAUCUAUUGGAAUUGAUACAGGAAAUACCCAAAAAUAGACUUCUCAUUAAUGUAUAACAGGUAAGCAGUUUCUCUGUGCUUUUUAAAGAAAAGGACAUUUACAUAAUCUAUUUUUACUUGUAUAUAGCUAUAUGGUAUCUAUUUAUGUAGUCUGGUGAGGUAAUACCUCAUUAUAGAAUUAUCUAGGACUAAACAUCUUUCUACACAGGCAAUAAUGCUAGGAGAAAAAAUAGCAGGUAAAAAUUCUUGAUAAAUUAUGGGGAUUAUUAUGAGCUUGGUGUCAUUUAUCUCAGGUUACACACACACACACACACACACACACACACACACACUUCUACCCACAGUUUCUGUUUGUCUAUCAACAAUGACUGUUAAUAGCAUAGACUCUAAGCUAAAUUGUGAAAUAGGGCUCUUUUUUUUGCCAUUCAUUCUCCUUUUUACCAGUGUUCUCUUUUUUCCUUUCAGUGUCUGUAUAUCUAUGACCUCUGAGCCUCACCAUCGGUAGGAAUCCACUGUCCUCUCUUCAUCCCUAAUCAAACUUAGAAAUUACCUAAUAUCAGCAUGCUUUGUAGAUUAUACUAUAAUAUAAUGGGGCAUUUUCAUAUUGGUAUUAUAUUCCCCAAAUGAUAUCCUCAUACCCUAUCCCCAUUCUCCUUCCUCCUGGAAUGCAUUCCAAUCCCUUCUAUAUUUUUUCAACUACACAUUUUUUGCCUUUUUUUUUUUUAAGGGCCACACCCAAGGCAUAUAGAAGUUCCCAGGCGAGGAGUUGAAUCAGAGCUACAGCUGACAGCCUAUACCACAGCCACAGCAAUGCCAGAUCUGAACUGUAUCUGCGACCUACACCACAGCUCCUGGCAACUCCAGAUCCCCAACUCACUGAACAAGGCCAGGGAUGGAACCCACAUCCUCAUGGAUACAGGUUGGAUUCGUUUCUGCUGAGCCACGAUGGGAACUCCCCAAUCACAUUUUUUACCACAAAAUAUGAUGUUGAGAUGUGUCUUUUUCCAUAUCCACCCGCAUGUUCAUUGCAGCACUAUUCCCAAUAGCUGAGACAUGGAAACAACCUAAUUGCCCAUCAACAGACAAUUGGGUUAAGAAGAUGUGGUAUAUAUACACAAUGGAAUACUACUCAUCCAUAAAAAAGAACAAAAUAAUGCCGUUUGCAGCAACACGGAUGGAACUAGAGACUCUCAUAUCAAGUGAAGUAAAUCAGAAAGAGAAAGACAAAUACCAUAUGAUUUCACUUAUAUCUGGAAUCUAAUAUAGGGCACAAAUGAACUUUUCCACAGAAAAGAAAAUCAUGGACAUGGAGAACAGACUUGUGGUUGCCAAGAGGGAGGGGAAGGGAGUAGGUGGGACUGGGAAUUUAGGGUUAAUAGAUGCAAACUAUAGCCUUUGGAAUGGAUAAGCAAUGGGAUCCUGCUGUAUAGCCCUGGGAACUAUGUCUGGUCACUUGUGAUGGAGCAUGAUGAUGUGAGAAAAAAGAAUGUAUAUGUAUGUGUGACUGGGUAACCUUGCUGUGCAGCAGAAAAUUGAUAGAGCACUGUAAAUCAGCUAUAAUGGAAAAAAUAAAAAUCAUUACAAAAAAUGUGUCUUUUUAAUU